RNAcentral lists this ribosomal RNA (484 nucleotides) under uncultured bacterium. RNAcentral describes it as "partial 16S ribosomal RNA". It matches the Rfam family "Bacterial small subunit ribosomal RNA", at positions 30 to 507 of the family's 1533-position model. The record is from RNAcentral.
AUUGAACGCUGGCGGCAGGCCUAACACAUGCAAGUCGAGCGGAUGAAGGGAGCUUGCUCCUGGAUUCAGCGGCGGACGGGUGAGUAAUGCCUAGGAAUCUGCCUGGUAGUGGGGGAUAACGUCCGGAAACGGGCGCUAAUACCGCAUACGUCCUGAGGGAGAAAGUGGGGGAUCUUCGGACCUCACGCUAUCAGAUGAGCCUAGGUCGGAUUAGCUAGUUGGUGGGGUAAAGGCCUACCAAGGCGACGAUCCGUAACUGGUCUGAGAGGAUGAUCAGUCAAACUGGAACUGGGAAACGGUUCAGACUCCUAAGGGAGGCAGCAGUGGGGAAUAUUGGACAAUGGGCGAAAGCCUGAUCCAGCCAUGCCGCGUGUGUGAAGAAGGUCUUCGGAUUGUAAAGCACUUUAAGUUGGGAGGAAGGGCAGUAAGUUAAUACCUUGCUGUUUUGACGUUACCAACAGAAUAAGCACCGGCUAACUUCGUG